This 1000-nucleotide ribosomal RNA is filed under the name Pediococcus acidilactici. RNAcentral describes it as "bacterial SSU rRNA". Lineage: Bacteria; Bacillati; Bacillota; Bacilli; Lactobacillales; Lactobacillaceae. The record is from RNAcentral.
AAGUCGAACGAACUUCCGUUAAUUGAUYAKGACGUGCUUGCACUGAAUGAGAUUUUAAYAYGAAGUGAGUGGCGGACGGGUGAGUAACACGUGGGUAACCUGCCCAGAAGCAGGGGAUAACACCUGGAAACAGAUGCUAAUACCGUAUAACAGAGAAAACCGCCUGGUUUUCUUUUAAAAGAUGGCUCUGCUAUCACUUCUGGAUGGACCCGCGGCGCAUUAGCUAGUUGGUGAGGUAACGGCUCACCAAGGCGAUGAUGCGUAGCCGACCUGAGAGGGUAAUCGGCCACAUUGGGACUGAGACACGGCCCAGACUCCUACGGGAGGCAGCAGUAGGGAAUCUUCCACAAUGGACGCAAGUCUGAUGGAGCAACGCCGCGUGAGUGAAGAAGGGUUUCGGCUCGUAAAGCUCUGUUGUUAAAGAAGAACGUGGGUGAGAGUAACUGUUCACCCAGUGACGGUAUUUAACCAGAAAGCCACGGCUAACUACGUGCCAGCAGCCGCGGUAAUACGUAGGUGGCAAGCGUUAUCCGGAUUUAUUGGGCGUAAAGCGAGCGCAGGCGGUCUUUUAAGUCUAAUGUGAAAGCCUUCGGCUCAACCGAAGAAGUGCAUUGGAAACUGGGAGACUUGAGUGCAGAAGAGGACAGUGGAACUCCAUGUGUAGCGGUGAAAUGCGUAGAUAUAUGGAAGAACACCAGUGGCGAAGGCGGCUGUCUGGUCUGUAACUGACGCUGAGGCUCGAAAGCAUGGGUAGCGAACAGGAUUAGAUACCCUGGUAGUCCAUGCCGUAAACGAUGAUUACUAAGUGUUGGAGGGUUUCCGCCCUUCAGUGCUGCAGCUAACGCAUUAAGUAAUCCGCCUGGGGAGUACGACCGCAAGGUUGAAACUCAAAAGAAUUGACGGGGGCCCGCACAAGCGGUGGAGCAUGUGGUUUAAUUCGAAGCUACGCGAAGAACCUUACCAGGUCUUGACAUCUUCUGCCAACCUAAGAGAUUAGGCG